UGAGAUCAGUUCAGCAUUCACAGC
RNAcentral lists this non-coding RNA (24 nucleotides) under Mus musculus (house mouse). The record is from RNAcentral. Lineage: Eukaryota; Metazoa; Chordata; Mammalia; Rodentia; Muridae.